CCUACGGGAGGCAGCAGUGAGGAAUAUUGGUCAAUGGACGCAAGUCUGAACCAGCCAUGCCGCGUGAAGGAAGACUGCUCUAUGAGUUGUAAACUUCUUUUAUACGAGAGUAAACGCAGUUACGCGUGUCUUUUUGCAUGUACUUUAUGAAUAAGGAUCGGCUAACUCCGUGCCAGCAGCCGCGGUAAUACGGAGGAUUCAAGCGUUAUCCGGAUUUAUUGGGUUUAAAGGGUGCGUAGGCGGUCGGAUAAGUUAGUGGUGAAAGUUCGAGGCUCAACCUCAGAAUUGCCAAUGAUACUGUUAGGCUAGAGAAUAGUUGAGGUAGGCGGAAUGUAUGGUGUAGCGGUGAAAUGCUUAGAGAUCAUGAAGAACCCCGAUUGCGAAGGCAGCUUACUAAGCU
This 400-nucleotide ribosomal RNA is filed under the name uncultured bacterium. RNAcentral's name for it is "partial 16S ribosomal RNA". It matches the Rfam family "Bacterial small subunit ribosomal RNA", at positions 338 to 735 of the family's 1533-position model. The record is from RNAcentral.